This is a long non-coding RNA of Alexandromys fortis (reed vole), 24586 nucleotides long. RefSeq lists it as uncharacterized. The transcript has 5 exons. The record is from RefSeq and is a predicted model, not a curated record. NCBI's taxonomy places the organism in Eukaryota, Metazoa, Chordata, Mammalia, Rodentia, Cricetidae.
AUAUUAGGGUUCAGUCUGGAGAUCAGAAAAGCAAAGCAGCCUGGUCACUAGAGAGUUCUUACCUCUAAGAAAUCUUGAAACUGAAAGAACAAGUUCCUGCCUCAUCCUGCUUUAUAUUCCUCUCUAGUGCUGGGAUUAAAGGCACGCGGAUCUCUAGUACUGGAAUUAAAGGUAUGAGCCAUCACCACCUGGAUCUGUUUCUGCAUUAAUUUUGUGUAGCCCAGGGUGGCUUUGAACUCACAGAGAUCCAUCUGCCUCUGUCUCCCAAAUCCUGGAAUUAAAGGUGUGUGACAUUUCUGCCUGGUCUCUACUCACUUAGUUUUGCCUUCUGGUCUUCAGGCAAGCUUUAUUUAUAAAAUUUAAAUAAAAUACCUCUAUAGGUAGCACUGACUCUGUUGUUGCUCCACAACUCCUUUGCCUCUGAGUUUUGCAGCUACCCAUACAAAACUCAGCAGGGCUACUACCAGUCUCUUGUCUGUCUGGCCCGGUGAAGAGAUAAACAGAUACAGCUAUGAAGUCUGGUUAUCCUUUGCUUUUUCACUAAAGAAAAGAAAGAGUUAAGGCAGCUUCUCUUACCAGAUGUACUCUCCAUCUUCAGGAAAUCACAAAGAAGAAGGAGGAGGAGGAGAAGAGGAAGAAGAAGAAGAAGAAGAAGAAGAAGAAGAAGAAGAAGAAGAAGAAGAAGAAGAAGAAGAAGAAGAAGAAGAAGAAGAAGAAGAAAAUAAAUCUGGGAACACAAAAUCAUUCCUCAGUGAUUUCAUUCCAUUAAACAUGGCAUGGCACACAUAAGCUCCCAGCUGUGGGCCUGCUCUGCUGAGUAUUUCCAGUCAGGGAGAAAACACAUAGUAAAUUGAAGCACAUGGUAUUCUGAUUUCAUCACUCCCUACAAGUUUGCACAGCAGCGAGCUACAGUAAAUUGUACAGCCUAGCCUUUUCCCGGCAGGAAUGCCUACUCCUGAUGCCAUUGCUGAUAACGGUGGCAGUGUAACAAUGUUUGCAGCAGAAAUUAAAGAUUAACAUAGCACCAGCACUGGCUGACUUAGAAAAUUUUGCUUGAAACUUUCAGUCAGUUGGGUCACAUCCAUUUGUUAUAUUAUCUAACUAAGGAUGUUUCUUCUGGCAGGCACAAAAGAGAGAUGAAGAAAAAAGUAAAAUUACCAUAUCUUACCGCUGUAUCCCACUUUACCAAUUGUGAGUCCUGCGGUAUGACUAAGUGAUUAUGAGAUGAUGCAUAAUUAAUAAGAACUCAGGGACAGAUAUUGGGGUUCAACCUGAAGACUAGAAAAGCAAAGCAGCCAGUCAUUGGCUCUUACCUUGACCUUAGCCAAAAAAUUGUAUCCUGUCUCCAGAAAACCUCAGAAUGAGACUGAGACCGCGAGUUGUCUCCUCCCAUCUUAUAUUCCUCUCUAGGGCUGAGAUUAUUAAAGGCAUGCAUCACUGGAAUUAAAGGCAUGCAUCACUGGGACUAAAGGCAUGAACCCUACUACCAUGUCUCUAUGGAAAGCUAGUGUGGCUACUGGGAUUAAAGGUGUGUGUCAUUGCUGCCUGGUUGUUAAGACUGGCAGUGUGGUUGUUUUACUUUUCUGAUCUUCAGGAAAGCUUUCUUGUUGAAGGAGGGGCCGCUUGUUGGUUUCCGGAUGUUCAGCCCCAAAAUAAUCACACAGAAACUAUAUUAUUUACAUCACUGCUUGGUCCAUUAACUCCAGCUUCUUAUUGACUAAGUCUUAUAUCUUAAUUUAACCCAUUUCUAUUAAUCUGUAUAUCGCCACAUGGCUGUGGCUUACCAGCUAAAGUUCCAGUGUCUUUCUCCAGCAGGGCUACAUGACUUCUCCUUACUCCACCUCCUUUCUCUCAGCAUUCAGUUUAGUCCCUCCCCCCAGCCCUAUUCCCCUAUAGCUCUGAUAUAGGCCCAAAGCAGUUCCUUUAUUAACCAAUGAUAUUCACAGCAUACAGAGGGAAAUACCACAUCACUUUAUUUAUUAAAAUACAAAUAAAAUGCCACUGCAAUGAGCACCUGCUAUUCUUUCAGGGGAACAGAGUUUGGUUUCCAACACCCACAUGGGAUGGUUCACAACCACCUGUCACUCCAGGUCAGGGGAUCUCACACCCUUUUCUGGCCUCCACAGCAACUGCACACACAUCUUCAUACACACACACACACACACACACACACACACACACACACAAAAGAGAGACAGACAGACAGAGAGACUGAGAUGAAGUAAAUAAAUUAGUGAAAAUACUUGUUUGUUAACUCAACGUACUGUGCUAAUUUUGAUUUUUUUAAAAAAGUCAUUAAAUAUAUUCAACAAGCCAGACUGUUUAUAAUUAAACAUGACAACUUCCAGUACUAUCAGCAUCACCUGGUAAAGCCACAUCCUUUUUGCAUGUUUUUAUAUCCCUGACAGGGCUCAAGUUGUGUGUCAAUGAAAUACCGUAACCGUUUCUUAUAGUAACAUUUCAAUUUAUUGCAGAGACUCAAUAUAUACCAAUUUACAGGUUAGGAGAGCAAUGCUUAUGCCCCAUUAAGAGAUUUAGGUCCUACAGUUUGCGCAGUAGAGUGUGCACCACUUUGAAUGUUUGCACAUAGGCGAGAGAGUGAUAGUACCAAAUUUGUACUUUAACAGAAUACUUCUUAUAGUAAAGAAUAAAGGGGAAUCUCAUCAGGAGCAAAACUCCGUCUGAAGUAUUGUCUAUUCUUUGUCAUGUGACUCUGUCCCAGUUCUUGUGUGCAAUCCAUGCACACGGGACGAUGGAAUAUUCUCUAAUAGUGCAACAGCCGUUCACGCUUCAGUAAACUUUCCUUUUGCUGCAGUUCUAGCUAUUCCUCGACCCUUAGGCAAACCCCUGUUCUCCGAGACUACGAUCUCUUGCUGGUAGGUCAGAGAAGCAAUUGUUUACAUGCCAGUUGCCUGUACGAGCAGUAUAAAACAACAAGAGGUUGGGAAUCAAGCAGAUUUCCUCUGUUGUAUGAGCUUUCUCAAUUAUAAAUUGAGCGAAUUCUCAUCUAUUUUGAAAUGGAUUAGAGAUAUAGCAUAUUUAAUGCUUAAGACUCUAGAUGAGGCCGGGCGAUGGUGGCGCAUGCCUUUAAUCCCAGCACUCGGGAGGCAGAGACAGGCGGAUCUCUGUGAGUUCGAGACCAGCCUGGUCUACAGAGCUGGUUCCAGGACAGGCUCCAAAGCCACAGAGAAACCCUGUCUCGAAAAAAAACAAAACAAAACAAAACAAAACAAAAAAAAGACUCUAGAUGAGAAAACCAUACACAGAAUUAAAGAGAGGCCAGUAUUAUUUUUUUAUUUUCAAUGUAUGCAUGUCUGCCUGCAUGUAUAUGUGUAUGUGUUUUUGUAGUUUAAGAACAUAAUACACCCUGUUUCUCAUUUGCUUUAAGACAGUUAGUUUGUCUGGCAUUAAGCAAGUCUCUUUCAUAACUACUUAUCAUGGUUUAUAUCCUAAGAGAUGGGAAUUGUGUAAAACUUUUAUUACUGAUUCUUUGUGGAUUUCACAUCAUGCAUCCUGAUCCCAUUCAUUUUCCUGUCCCUUCAUAUCUGCCCUCUGACAUUGCAACCUUCCACCCCCGCCCCAAAACAAAACAAAAUAGAAUAGAAAAGAAAAGCAGAACAAGUCUUGGUGUGGAAGCCGCAGCGCGACCCAGUGAGCUCCACAGUGUCUGCUUUGGUCCAUGCAUCUUCAUUUGUAAGUGCGCGUUGCAAUGAGUCAUUCAUCUGGUUUGUGGCCUCUGAUUCUGCUUCACCCUUGAUAGUGGGCCCUCACUGGGUCUCCUCUUGAUAUUCUGUUGUUGCCUUGUGUCCUAGAGAUCCUGUAGUUUCAGAGCUACAGGCCUUCUCCCCUUACAUGCUUCAGCAGUUCACCACCAGGGUGAGCUCUCCUGCACUGCCCUGGCCCCCUCAUUCAUCAGACAAGGAGCAGGGCCAGUUCUCCCGUUCUCACACUCUAGGGGUUGGCUCACUGGCAUCCACACCACCAGGGCCGGCUCUACUGUUUUGCCCAUGCAAGGUUCAGGGCCAGCUUGCCCUCUCUCAUGUUGCCAAGGCCAGCUCUCCUGCUGCGGCAGAUGGCAAGGGUUGUGGGGGGGGAUCUAGCCCUCACCCAGGCCACCACGUGGCAGAUAAAGGAGGCGGGGUUAUCUCUCCUGUUCUCAUGCUCUCAGGGCAGGCUCACUUGCACCCCUGCCAACAGGGUCACCUCUAGUGUGCUGCCCAGGCAGGUGCAGGGUCAUUUCUCCCAUGUGUCGCUGGCUCUCAAACUCUCGUGACACCCGGAGCCAGCUCUCCUGCCUGAAGAGAUGGGAAUGUCAGUGACUGGAAAUUGGUUUCCCAACUUGCUGUUAUCAAUCAUGAAAGAAGUUGCUUACUGCUCAUGGACUCACUGCCACGGGCUGUUGUUAUUUCCUGAGAGGACACUUUCGCAUCACCGGAGAAAGUUGAAAUCCAGGCUUCUCCCCGUGGAAAUGCUGCUUCAUGGGUUGUAGUUACUUGUCAGGCUCAUGACUCAACACACUGAAAUAUUGCCAAAGAAAAUUUCCUCUCAAAAUUCAAGUUUGCUCAGUCACAGCACAGAUGUUGCUGAACGUAAUUAAUUACCUUCAGGGCUAGAGAAAUGUGACGUUCACUUACAAAUAAUAAUUAAUGGACAGCAACUGAGGAUUCUUGGUGGCCAGUUCUUUGAGUCACUCCCAACCACAGAAUACACUUUCUUCUGAGCAACAGAAGAAGGUUGUGUGCCCCAGCAACACAGUGAGUGUUUGCAGAUAGUUUAAAGAGAACAGGAAAUGUGUGACUUAGAACUGGAUGGAAGAAGAGAAUGACCAUUCCAAUUACCAACCUGUGCCUGCUGUACCCACGGGGUGAUCCAGAGAUGCCUACAAAUCUGUCCCAGACUUUGACACACUAUGCCAUGUGAAUCGUGUGCACACACUGUUCUGGGCACAAAACCUAUGGACAAAUUCCCCACUUCAUGGAGACUUCUGAAAGCGGUACUGUCUGUCUAUGUCAGCGUGGCAACAUUUUGUUUCAGGAAAAGUCUUACGACGAAACAGUGGUACUUCAGGGAAGACCUUUGCUGCUGGCCUCAGGAAAUUCUUGUAAAUGGGUUUAAUCUCACCAUCCAGUUCGCCCUUCUGGUUUAACGCCUCCUAUGUCAGGCAAAAGCCAGACUGCCGGUCUUCCUGUCGAGGCCCUCUUUUCUGUUGUCCAUCGAACCUAGGUAUCAUGUCAGCGCUAUGUCCAGUUCCGGUUAGUUCCUGCCUUGACAGGUUUGAAGCCUUUUGAGUUCAGCUCCUGUCAUCCAUCCAGACACAAAGCUCUGUCAAAGUCUUCUCAUUGCGUAAAUGUAGUAAGUUCAGCUUUCCUUCAUUAGACGUGUCCUUUGUUGUUUUUAUUUUUAAUUUUGAAGAUGACCCGUUUCAGUGGACGGCAGAAUGUAAGAACAAGGGAGACAAUACUUCAUAACUACUUUUCUGGGUAUAAUUACAACCUUGACUUUCCAUACCUUUGUCCUGAAAGUAUCGGACUACUGGUUUUUCUACAAACAUGAAGCUGUGGUUUGGAUCUAGGUGGAAGGAGUCUCCCAGAAACUCAUAUUGGAAAGUUUUAUUCUCCACCCACCCAUGUGCUACUGUUGAAAAGAGGUAAGAUCUUUUCAGAGGUGGGAACUGGGGGAAAGGUUUUAGGUCAUUGUGGCUUUGUCCUCAGAGGGUUAAUAUAAUUCCCACGGGGCCUGUCUCUUGGUGUCUUGUCUCACCCUGUAAACCCUCUCUUACGUACCUAUCUGCCAUGGUGUCAUUCUCCAUUAGGCAAUGAGCCUGGGAGCACCCUUAGGCAGUACAAUGAGGUUUGGGCUUUUCUUUACUAAGUGUCUAGCCUUGGCCAUUUCAUUAAGAAACAGAAAGCAGGCUAAUAUACUUGGUAGACAAAUGAUCCGCUUUCAGGGACAUUUUGAUUUCAGAGUAGUUCAUUCUAUAGUGGUUUCUUCAGUUUAUGUCUAACGUUUUCCAGAACUCUAGAUACAAAAGGCGGCUGGAGGUAGGCAGGUGAGUCACCAGAACUGGAUCUAGACCUGUGUGAGAAGGAGGGAACUUGGCACAAACCCACUUCCUCCUGUCAUUUUAAAUGUUGCCUUAAGCUCAUCUGUUGAAAUGUUCUAAGCUCAAGUAAUACUGCAUGGGCUUGGCACACUGUGUUUUUCUAAACGAAUUGCUUCCUGCCUCCCUGUACCACUGUGCAGGUGACCUUAGGGCUGGGAAUGGAUAACGGGCACCUACAGCCUGCAGAUGACUGAGAAGUGUGACCUCAGGUGGGCUGUGGCAUCUGCUUUACCAGAAACUGUGAAAAUUUCUAACUAUUUUUAUUAUGAUGAUUAUGAAAACUCUAUCUAUUUACAAUCUGGGAAAUUAUUAAUACUCUCUCAUCAUGUGGGUCUUCAGGUUGCAAAAGAGGACUGAUAAAGAUGACUUAUUCGGCAAAGCUGCGAAGAGGGUGCAAAGUAAAACACACUCGGCACAGCUACCGUCAUGGCCUUUUCUGGACACGAAUUCAUUUGACUCUCACACCAACCUCACAAGGGAGGGCUUUAGUAUUGCGUGGAUGGGGCAACUGUGGUUCUGAGAGGUUGUUCUGUAUCACAGGUGACAGAGAGAGGCACUAGUGUAUUCGGCUGCCCACUGCCCACUAGAUGUUCUCACUGAGUGCCCCAACCCUGGAACAAUAGAAGGCCACAGGAGUAAGGAGAGGAGGUCAUGGGAGACUGUUCCAGAUCUUUCUUCAGCUCUCAUCUCUUAUAAAACUACUUUUAAGUUACCUCAAUGCUUUUUAAUGUAAGCUAGACCACAAUAGAAAUCCCAUUCAUGGUUCAAUAGCACUUCAAAGAGAUCUAAGGGUUAUAAAAAAGCAUAAUACUUUAAUGUGAAAAUAUAACAAUUUUGCCACACUUAAAUUAUAACUGUUAUUAAUUGAGUCUACAUUUUGGCUAACCAUGACCUAGAAGUGGAAAACAAGGCUCAACUGUGAGCAAGAACAGCACUUAUCCCUGUGUAUGAGUGUUCUACCUUAGAACCAACGAUGACUAGGAGAUAACGUCCAUGAUAUGACCUCCGAUGCCUGUUUAUAUCGGGAAUUAUUUUAUCUUAUUAGAAAACUGAUGUUCAAAUUUAAAAUGGCUGUACAGAUUUGGUUACAUAUUCUUAAUUUCUUCUGCUUCAUAUAAAAGCAAUUUAAGGUAAUUUUCCAUUCAAAAAAUAGGAAGAACAACAUUUAAUAUUUUAUGAUAUCUACUUAACUUUUAUUGUUUGAAAAAUAGCUCUCAUAGUUAUAAGUUUAGAGGAAUUAAGAAUCUCUGUUGUCAAAGCUCAACAUACUAAUAUAAAAAUAUAUAUUAUAAUCAGCCUUCUCCUGUCUUCCAGUUAUUAUAAUGAUCCAUGCUUCCCAUGACAGCUAUCAAUUCAAAUCUGAAUUUUCCUAGCUUUGAUGUCCAUAUCCUUGCAUAGUAGUUGGUCUGGCUAGUAGAGCUCUCUCUCUAUAGAUGUGUGAUGUGCCCUGUCUUGAUGGAAAUAGGAAUCCACCAGCUGUGAGAAUAUCUUCCUUUUAUUUCAGACAGCACAACAUUCCAAAGUCUUUCAUCUCCUCUUUAGUCUUUAUUAACCUGCAGUUUGUAAGAAAUUCUUUUAUGAAAUAAUGGUGUGAAUUUAAAUUAUUAAGUUAUAUUUUACUGGUGAAACAUUAGCUAUGAUAAGUAGAUGCAUGAAGCUUGCAGCUUGUUCGAGUGAGUUUUACCUGUCAACUUGAUGUUAUCUCAAAGGGCCCAGGCCCCUGGAAAUAGCACUAUGCUGGGCAGCUAGUCCUAGGCUACAUAAAAAAGGCUAGCUAAGAAUGUAUCUUGGAUUGAGCUAUCAAGUAGAGCUCUUCCACCACUUCUGCUUCAACUUUCUGCUCGAGUCCCUGCCCCGACUCCUCUCAGCAAUGGCCUAUACCACUUGUAAGGUGAAAUGAACACUUUCCUCUCCUAAGUUGCUUUUGGUCAGUGUUUUAUUACAGCAUCAGAGAAGACACUCGAGCAUAACUUCCCAAACAGAGCUUUCUGUCUUGCAGGUAUAUGUUCUGCAAACACUGAUAUUCUGAUGGAUUCUAUGUAACAUGCUCAAAUCAAUACAGAAAAACACUCAUGGAAACUGAGACUUGAACACAUUGAUUAUAUGGAACAUAAUUGUGUGAUGAUUUCUUUUGCUUAGGACUGAAGUAGGCUUAACUCUCUCCUGUAACUCUGUACCCUGCUAAUGGGAGGAACCUUACCUAGACUGUCUUCUAACUUUAUGCACUUCAACCCUGUUUUUCCAUGGCUGUGCCAGGCUGGCGUAGAUGUCUCAGACACUUCUGACUUUCUGCAUCAAGAAACUGAGAAAAUAUGUAUAGUGAAGACACUGGUAUUUAUAAAAGGUAUUCCCACUAGGAUGGCUAAUUCAACAGAACCACCCAGAAGGUGACUGCCAACCAAUAAAUAGCCCUAAACUUAUGCUAAAGUUGACUACACUCAACUUCCCCCUUUGCCAGAGUGAAAAGUGUUUUUACAGCUACACCAGCAUCACACAACACCAAGAGAGACAAGAAAGGAAGUGGCAGUGGGAGAGAAGCAAAGCAGUUCUAACCAGCUUGACUAAAAUGUAGGACUUCAGCAUAUUUUAUAAAAAUCCAUGGCAUCAUUUUCAGGUCCCCUCCCAUGGUGUUGGCAAAGGCUUUCAUUACGAACGGGUUGAGUCUCUUUGUGGUAUAUGCACCUAUUAUUGUCUUGAAGUUCUGAUCGCUUGAUUGACCAUUGUUGCUUAAAUGAUAUAAAAUGUUCAUCCUCAUGUUUACGUUAGGCACUGACCCAAGUAACUGGUAACAAUGCUGAAUGUCAGGGUGAUGAAUCAGAAUGAUGUCACCACAGUGACUUUAAGUAAUGCUUCCUUCUGAUGGCCUGUGCUACAAGAGAUAGUUUAAUUUUCUUGGCACUAUUCUGGAAUUUUGACCCAGUCAUAGACAGUUUAAUCUGUGUUUUUAAUCCAUGCCCAACCAGACUAAUGUCUGUCCUAAAAAUUUGCAUGCUGAGUUUGAAUUCACCAAACUUGUGAACUGAAUAUAAUUCAUGCUUUGUUUAGCAGAUCCUUGGGGCAGGUUCCUUUGGGAAAUAUUCUGACUUAUCUUUGAGUAGCUGCUCAUUGUUAUCUCUGUUAUUCUUUGUCUUCGGAAGCAUCCGUGGUGGAAACGCAUGGGGAAAGGGGUUUUGGAGGGAGAUUCUGAACUCGUCGGGAAAUCCCAUGUGUGGACAGAGCUUCCUACCUCUGUCAAUUCACUGCUUUGUGCAGGAAUUUGUGAGUCAUGGGCCCGGCACGCUGAGGUUAGAACUGAGCCAAGAGAAGGAACUCUUGACCGCUGCUGAGCCAGAAUGACUAUGAAAGAUUAUUCAGCAAAGUUUUCUUGAAUGUUCUCUACAAUUUUAGAGGAGUGGGAUGCAUAUUCAACUCAUGUUUCAAAGAGAAAAACACCAGGUAGUCAGAUGAGAACAAGAUAGUAGUCUGAGGUGGGCCUCUUAGGCUGUGAAGAACAGACUUUGUUAUCUUUGCCUCUAUGGGGGGAAACAUGGAGAAAGGGGGAAAAAGGAAUUUUUGGAAAUUAUCUAGGUAGAGAAGCGAGCUAGAUUGGAUACUGAAGGCUGCAAAAGUUAUAGCAUGCCCAGAAGUAAAGGGUCUAUGACAGUGGUUCUCAGCCUGUGGGUCAUAACCUGUUGGCGAGUGGAACAACCCUUUCACAGGGGUUGCCUAAGACCAUCGGAAAGCACAGGUAUUUAAAUUACAAUUCAUAGCAGUAACAAAAUUGCAGUUAUGAAGUAGCAAUGAAAAUAUUAUGGUUGGGGGUCAUUACAAUAUGAGGAACUGUAUUAAAGGGCUCCAGCAUUAGGAAAGUUGAGAACCACUGGCCUGUACCACACCGAGAGAAGAAUGUGGACAAAGACUCAUCAACAAGAGUUUGCAAGGUUAAAGUUGAAGGAUGGAGGAUGGUGUCUUAGAGUUUCUAUUGCUGUGAAGAGACACCACGGCCACAGCAACCCUUACAAAGGAAAAGAUUUCAUUGGGACUGGCUUACAGUUUCAGAGGUUUAGUCCAUUAUUUUCAUGGUGCCGGAAGCAUGCCAGCAUGCAUGCAGACUUGGUGGUGGAGAAGGAGCCGAGAGCUCUACAUUUUGAUCCACCAGCAGCAGGAGACUGUGUGCUACACCAGGCAUAGCUUGAACACAUGUAAGACUUCCAAGCCCACCUCUAUAAUGACACACUUCCCCCAAUAAGGCCACACCUACUGCAACAAGGCCACAUUCCUUAAUAAUGCCAUUCCCUAUUGGCCAAGCAUUCAAACACGUAAGUCUAUGUGGCCAUUCCUAUUCAAACCACCACAGGCUAUAACCAUAAGACAAAUUACCUCUCCAAGUUGUUCUUGGUCAAUGUUUGGUCACAGCAACUGAGAAGCAAAUUAGAACACUGAAUAUCAACCAAGAGAAUUAGAUACGAUAUGGACAGCUUCAAUGACUCAACAAGUCAAGUAUUUGGGGUCAUCUUUUAACCAAAAAGAGAGUUUAUUUGUGUUAAUCAUAAUUAAUCAGACCUGUGCUCCUAUAAGAGGGAAAGGCUUGAGGGAUGGAUGCCUAGAGAGAGAGAAGGCUCCCUGUGGACAUGGGUCGAGGAUGUCUGGGACUUGUAGAUUGGAAGGAACUAAUACCACCCUUCUGCCCAUUUCUAAUUCAUGGUCUCUGGAAUUGUGAGAAAAUAAGUUCUGAUAGUUAAGCCAGCAAGCUUAUGGUAACUCAUAUGGCACGCCAAGAAAACUAACAGAUUCCACAGUUCUUUUUCUACAUGACAUAAAGUGUUACUUUUAUUUUCUAUUUUUUGAGGGGGAAGUUCUUUAAAUAAUUUUUGUUGUUGUUAAAAAAUGGGGAUAACAGGAAAGAUAUGUGGGAAGUUUGGAGGGGAAAGGGAAGGAAGAAAUGAUACAUUAUAGUAUAAUCUCAAAAACUAAAUAUAUAAGUAUGUAUCCUGAAAAUAGAUAGAUAUUCAGAUACUAUUCAGUGGCAAGAGCAUCACAUGUGUGAUAUCCCUAUAUAAAGGGUAUUUUGGGGAUAACUCUCAUGGUUUUAAUAAAGUAUGUAGUCCAAUAGUACUUUUAUGCCACCAUCAAUGUUCUAUUUUUAAUUGUAGAAUUUUCUUGGUUUUUGGAAAUACUAGGAAACCUAGGUGGAAUCUGAUCUGGAAUUCCUAAUACUAUUUUAAAACAUUUUCUAUGCAUUUAUAAUUAUUUAAAAUAUAAAUAUCAUUAAAAUUAAAACCAUGGAUAAAAAAUAAUCAAAUUGAAGGUCGUAUAUGUUGCAAAAUAGCAAGUUAAAAUUUAAGCACAGUGGAGAUUAGUUAAGAGACCAGGGAGUGUUUUCUGUCCAGGUUCACUCAGGUGCCGGUACAAGGUGCAGGGUGUGUAUUGGAUUCUGUAAAACUUCCAGUAACUCCAUGCACGGGUGAAGGCACAUUCCCAGCAGCAUGGCAAUGAUAAUACAAAAGGCCUUGGCAGCACUCCAGCUCUGACCUCUAUCCACAGCCAAGCAUGCUAGCCUGUGAGACUCAGUUUCCCUGCAGUGUUGCUCUAUUGCUCUCCGGGCGGUUUCACUGUGUCUAGCUCUGUGCAAAGGUGGGCACAUCUUUCUGAUCAAUGGGGCUGUCUUUGGCUUGUCAUUCACAGACAGAAAUCUGCUUUGAGACCCAAUUAUUAGAACAUGCUCUCUAUUUGUGUUCAACUAACGCUGGCAGUAAUGCCAAGGGACUACUGUUGGCUUUAGACACUUAGACCCUUGUGGGGGCCAUGCACUAUAUUCAAUAUUUAUGCUUUACACGGCAUUAAUAUUUCAAUUUUUUUUCUGUUUUAGGAAAAUAUUUUGUAGACCCUAAAAACUGUAUCUUUUUGGCUAGGGGAAAUUAACACUUUAUUUGACUCUAAAGACUUAUUUUAUCCUCCCGAUUUUAAAAGAAGGUGAAAUGUUAUCAUGAACCUCUAACACCAAUCCUAGGUCUAUACCUACUGGACUAAAUUCAUAGGUAGUAUGAUUGGCAUUGAAUUUUUAAAUUAUGUAAGUCCUAUCUAAAGAAAAUGAAUUGAAUUGAAUUGGUGCAGACAUUUAGUCACUAAAGACCAUAAAUAGAUGUGCUGUAAAGCACAUAUUUUAGUUGUAUUUCUAAGCCUAUAUGUUAUAACUUAUGUGGACUUGUGGUUAAAGAGCCACUGGGGGCCAUUCUUAUCUAUUAAUAUUGAGUCAGACAGCCUGUUUUUACGCAGUGCUCUGUUGAUCAAUACCUAGACUAUGUCCUGUGCAUUCUGAAGAUUCCUGGAGUCAUUAAUCAUCCUGAGAUCGUCACAAUAUGUACUUAGCAUGAAGUUGUUUUAUUUUUUAACCUUCUUUUUUCCUUUAUCAGCAUCAGACACUUUAAAAUAUAAAAGAAUUUUCUAUGGACUGGUCAGUGUUUCUGCUGAUGCUUUCUGAAUGUAAUGUUUAGGCUUGGGAUAAAGCUCAGUGUGUGUGUGGGGGGGUGCUUCCCUAGCAUGCAUAUGGCCCUGGGUUCGAUGGCUUAUACUAAAAGGAAUCAAAGCCCCACACAUUUAUCUUCUUAUCUAAGGGUAACUUCUCUGUUAGUAAAUGCAGAGUUUACUUCCUGAAAUAGCAUUGUCUUAUCACAGAGGACAUUGUAAAAUCCAUUAAAAAGGAAAGCACCGUGUGGAGAUUAAAUAUUAAUUUGCUCUCAAUUGUUACUCAAAAAAGCAAGUGGUACUUUUUGCUCAGAUAAGCUUUGGCUGCAAUGCCCAGGCUGCUACAGAGCUCUUUACCUCAGUCUCCAGAGCAACUAGGACUUGGGGGAUGGGCCAUCAUGCCCAACUAUGUGUUAUUUUUAUAUAGAGAAGAACUCAAAAUUGUCAAUGAGAAAGGCGAUUGGUGUCAAGGUUUGACUUAAAAGGAGCCCCUUUCCAUUUGCAGCCAAACAAAAUUUCCUAAAAUUAAGACAUUUUGCCUGGGUUUUCAAAAUUAUUAGCUCUAAUUUAAGGAGCAUCUAGCAGGAUGUUUUCCUUUGAUGAAAUUAGCCCCAAAUCAACUGUUUUCAGUACUUCUAUUGUGUCAAAUAUUGUUCAUGUCAGCUCAAAAUAACACAUUCUUCUACUUUUCCACCUCAAGCUGAUUAGGAGGUAAAAAUGGUCUAGAGAGGAUCUCACUGUAAAUUUUGUUUUUAAAGAUCAAAUAAAUACUUUCAAAGUACUUAAUGACUACUUCUACAAAUGUGGACUGCCUGUGUGCUACCUUAUGCUGCGAUGAAAAAAAACAGGAAGAGAAAGUGCUGAGCUAGGGAACUUUACAUGGUAAAGGACAUCUGUUUACUCUUGGCUGCUGUGCCCCCACUCGACUGUUUCUAAAUUCCAGAGUUGUGUUUGCACUUAUUCAACAAGGGCAGCUUCUGAAGAACACACACCCUGGGGAGCUGGGCUGUCUGACAUUCCAUGAAGUUAAUGCCAGUAGAAGAACAGGCUCUUCUGAAAAGCGAAGCUACUCUGCUUGCUCUCUGGCCUGCCCAUACAACCUGAUGCAGGUAUUCAUUCUCAGAGCUCUUUUCCCUGUAUCUGGAUCCACAUGCCUUUGGCAAUGUAAGUGUCCAGGGCUCCGAAACUGUGAGGAAAUCCUCUUGAGAUCAGAUGACAGGUACCUUAGGAGUCCAUGAUUUCUAUGGCAAAGUACUAUUUGAAACCAGAAAAGUGGUUUGUUUCUCUUCCUCUUUGUUGUAUGAAGUAUAUUUAUAGCUGUAAAGCCCAUGAACCACAAUAAUGACAAACAUAGCAAGAUAUAUCCAAGGGCACAAUAAUGGCACUUACAACUUGAGGAUCCCCAACCACUAUAUAAUUAAACUAAAAGCCCACUCAAUAGGCCGUAAUUAAUGUGUGUCCUGUCAGCCUAACCAAACUCCUGUGGCUGAUGAAAUUAUAGACCCUAGAUGAGAACCCAGAUUGCCAUUUUCCGAAACCAGUAUAUUUCCUAAUUGAAUUCUAAAAACCUACCCUUAAAUCCACAGAUAAGUGUAGCUCUAACCCUUAUUAAGGAAGCUUCUUUUUGCAGCAGACAAGAGAGCACCACAAAAAUCCACAAGCCAAAACAUAGAGAACAGCUGACUUUGGGGUACCCAACCCUAAUUGAUAUAUCUGUAACACAGCUUCUAUAUACCCAAGCCUCAGGGAACAUUGUGGAAGAGGAGGCUGGAAGGUUUUAAGAGCCCAAGGGCCAGGAAGUCUGUUGUGAGAUCAUGUCUUCUAUAUGUGAGAAGGAUGUUACACCCAUGAAAUUAAAAAGAGAAAUUGAUCACCUAAACAAGAUCCUCAAGAUGGUAACACCAGUAGACACGCUAACAUGGAUGGUUAAAUCUCACAAGGCCUCACCCCUGCAGUUGACUUUUUAUUAUCUCUUUACAAGAAGGCUGUGCAGCAGGUCACUUUCCUAUUACCUAAUGAUUCAAAGCUCAAAGCAUGUUAGUAACUUACUAAAUUUACACAAGCACUAACUACUAAAACCAUGCAAAUGCUCUAGUUCUAGAUACCAUGCACUUAUUAUAAUACCACCUUCCCGGCUCUUGGACGAAACUAUGCUAAAUCAUGUGCAGGAUAAUGUAGAUACUACGAGGUCGAGACUGGUCAGGAUGUCAAUUGUGUCAGAGAUUUUGAUGACCUUGGGCCCAUAGGCCUUGGAAAGUUUGCUGUCCCCGCAGCUACCUCCUACUGCUAUUUAAGACAGCUUUAUGGGAUUGCCAUUAUGGUUAACCAGGGUUUAAAAUUUUGACCGUGUGGUGACUUCUACUGACAAAUGAACUUUACAAAGAACUUACUUAUCUAGAUUUGUCUACCUUUAAUGUUUAUUGCACCCUCCAACUAAGGCAGUCAUACAGCCACAUGGGGUAGAUUCUUGGCCUAGCGAUAUGGUCAUACUGUUAUCUAUUUCUUCCAGAUAGUGUAUAGCCUAAGAGAAUUGGAUGGCAGAAAUAAUGAGGACUGAAUUCAUAACCAUUUACAAUAACCAAAAUAACUUUCUCCUUCAUGAAAGCUUUUUGUCCUUGUCCCUGCUACCCACCACACACUUAAAAUAGUUGAUGUUAGAUCCAGUGAAGUAGGAGAAACGGGGCCCCUUGUUUGUCCUGGCUGCCGGGCUAGCUUAUACCCAAAAUAACCACACAGAAAUUGUAUUAAUUGAAUUACUGCCUGGCCCAUUAUUUCUAGCCUCUUAUUGGCUAACUCUCACAUAUUUGUUUAACCCAUCUCCAUUAAUGGGUAUCGCCACUUGACUGUGGCUUACCAGCAUGAGUAUAACCAGUGUCCAUCUAGGGCAGGAGAACCAUGGCAUCUGCCUGUCUCUGCUUUCUUCCUUCCAGAAUUCUGUUCUGUCUUCCCUGCCUACCUGAGUUCUGCCCUAUCAACUAGGCCAAGGUAGUUUCUUUAAUAACCAAUGAAAGCAACACAAAUACAAAAGGGCGUCCUACAUCAACCCAGGGUUUCACACAUGCUAGAUCAUGGAGCUGGACCAUUGAUAUAUGUCCUCAACUUCAUCACCAUUUUUUUCCCUUCCAGAGUUGAGAGUUGAAUCUAGGACCUCAUGCUUUGUAAGCAAGCACUCAACCACUUAGCUAAAUUCACAAUCCUUACUUUUAUGGGUGUAGACUGGAGGAGUAGUUCUUCUCUAAGGAAAUAUGAUCUGCAAUUUAAGUUUCCAAUAAGAAAUCCAUAGAUUUCUCCAUCGAAUAGAACAGUUUGGCCUCUGAAAAUAGGUUAAAAGCUGUGUUUGUUGUUAUUUGAAACUAUUUCUGACUCCAUCAGUAAAUUUUUAAAGCAUACAGGUUUUAGUUCUGAACAAAUGAAAACUGAAUUAGAAAAAUAUAAUUGUUGAAAAUAAGUAAUCAGCAAAUAGGACAAAUAUUUGGCAUCAGUUUUUUCCCCAGCUGGGAUAAGGGUAAAGGGAAACUGCCCAGGGGCUGCUUACCAUGGAAGUCUGGUGUUAUCAUCUGCACCAGGAAAAGUGAAAAUACAAGAAGCUCUUCUCUUAAUGUGUGUGGUUCAAUAAUUGCAGCCAUUACAGGCAAAAUUCCCUUAUUUGAACAUAAAUAUGUGAAGAGAUAGGAAGACAAAUUUCAUCGGAGGCAUUUUAUUUACAUGUUAGACACCUCAUAAGUUUGCAGCUUGAAUUAAUAGACCCUGUGCCUGAAGUCAACAGUAAACACCUUUCAACCCUGAGAGGCAGCCUCCGUGUCUUGGGAGAAGCACAUUCCUGUUUCAUAUGAACUUCCUGUUCCUUAUAAAUUUAUAAAUAUUACAAGUGGUAUAAUAGCUCAAGACUAAGACAGCAGGUGUAGCGGCGUAUGAGAGAAGUGUCACAAAUAUGACAUUAUCUCUGUACUAUUGAGUUUAUUGACAAUGGUGUAGUGCUCAAAUUUUUCUUUCAAGUUUCUCGUGGUUUUCUGUUAUAUAGUAAUUUCAUAAAAGCAGCCAUAAAGCAAUACUCUGCUAACAAAAUGAAAUUAAAGGUGUUAAACUUUAUUAAGCAGCAUAUAUAUUUAUUAACUUAUUAAUAUUGUCAUGGAAUGCUUGCACUUUUUGCACAAAUACAAAACAAUUCAUUCCCAUCUCCUUGUGGAAUAGUCUGAGCCUUCAUCAGAGCCCACUGGCUAUCUGUGUGACUUAGUAAAAUGCCCUCAACAUCUUCACUUCAGUUGCCUUCUCUGUACAUGACAUUCCAUGAACUUCAUGCCACAGACUCACUGGGAGUGGAACGUGAUACAAGGUACGGAUGUAAUGUUGCCAAGGUUGGGAACAGAAACAAGUCAGUGUGAAACUGGUUAUAUUGUGACUGUGUGGUAAAUAAAGUCACUCUGUAUUGGUAGAAGUCAGCUUUGCCCAUUGGAACCCUCUCACCAAGGUAACACGUUCCAUGAAAGAAAACCAUAGUUGAGAUCCAAGGAUCCAUGCAAGGAAUUUUUCCAGUCUGUCACAAGGUGGCCCCAGAUCCAUAAUAAUUCACAACUCUGAAAGAAGAAGGGAUUGCAACAAAACUCCCUGGUUGUAACUGAGCAUGUAGGGUCUCACCUAAUUGUACAGUUGGUAGAGCACAGAAAAGCAACCUUGACGUACUUAAAAUGGGCAAGAAAUCAGUUGCGUGCAUCUAGGGGUACCUCUUUAAGGCUCUUCUCAGGAGAAGUAUAAAUAAGUUAUCCAGUUGACAUUCAGUGUUUCAGUUGUAGCAGGACUUAGUAACAUGCUGAUCGGCUGUGGAAAACAUGCAAUCUUUGCUUUUUACCCUUGUUUAUAACAAUGAUUGUUUAGUUUUUCAUUUAACCAAAAACUUAUAUAAAAAGUCUCAAAAUCUUGUCCUCCUUAUUCUCUUCUACCUGUAAUAUAUCUUAUAAAGAUAUAUUACAGAUACCUGUUAUAAAUCUUAUAAAGUUGUGUCCAGAAAGUUCCAGAUUAAAGUCCUUAAGAGAUCAUUACUGAUUUAUUGUUUCUCCCUUUCACUUGAACUUCUUAGAUUCUUGUUGGGCAGUGGGGGCUCAUGCCUUUAAUCCCAGCCCUCAGGAGGCAGAAGCAGGUGGAUCUCUGUGAGUGUUAGGCCAGCCUGGUCGACAGAGUGAGUUCCAGGGCAAGGUCCAAAGCUACAGAGAAACCCCAUCUCAAAUAAAAAAGAAGACACCAAGCCUUUCAUCGAGAAUUUAGUUGUGUGCCUGAAAUGUAUCAAGAUUCUACUUGCAGAAAAAUAAAUUGCACAAGCACAAAAACUAGAACAGGAGCAAAAGUCAGUGGUUAGUAAUACAUCUACCUACCUACAGUCAUAAAUAGUUCUUGAUAGAUUUAUAGACUUGGCAUUCUGAUGCUUUCCACUUUCUUUUUUCUUGAUUUCCUUUAUUUACCCCAUUUCUUGGCAGUGUUGGUGGUCAGAUUUUGAGACUUGCAUGUCACAGAUGAGCCCACUGUUACCAGGUCACAUCUCCAGCCCUACUAUAUAUGAUACAGCUAUUAUCAUCCCUACUUACUAUGAGAUCGCAGUAUUUGCUGCUUGUAGUUCUCACUGUUUGAGUAGGUACUGUUUCAGUCUGCCUUCCUUGAAUGAUACAGAGGGCACAAAAGAUGUCUUUGUCAAAUACAUAAAAACCUAGGGUAUAAUUAAAAGUCUAACUAAAAACAUACAUGAUGCGGCUAAGGAGAUGGUUGAGUGGUUGAGAGUAUAUAUUUCAUCUGCAUUUUAAUAAAUAAAGCUUGCCUGAAGUUCAGAGAGUAAAAGAGUUUCACUGAUCAGCCUUGCAGACCAGCAAUGGUGACACACACCUUUAAUCCCAGUAGCCACACUAGUUUACCGUAGAAUCGGGCAGUACACAUCUUCAACUCCAGCACUAGAGAGGAAUCUAAGACAGGAGGAGACAGCUCUCACACACAGUCUCAUUCUGAGAUUCCUGGAGGCAGGAUUGCCAUUUCAGACUGAGAGGUAAGAGUCAGUGGCUGGUUAUUUUGCCUUUCUGAUCUUCAGGUUGAACUCCUCCCCACCCCCACAAAGAAAAAGAGUGUAUACUGCUUUUCCAGAGGACCUCAUUUUGGGUGAAUCACAACUUCAUAUACCUCCAGAUCCAGGAGCUUUGAUUAUUCUGGGCUCCAUGGAGAACUUCAUCUAUAUACCAACAGGCGCAUACUGUGUUGUACAGGUGUACACCUCUGGGAUGAAGGCAAGAGAGCAUCUGGAAGGAUGGUACGAGGUGAUCCUGGGACGUCCCUGAUGCAGAAAGUGGGAAAGCGCUCUCACACCAUGAGGGACAUUGGAAAGGAUAGGACCACUGUGGAGUUGUCCUCAUGGAGAAGGAGACACUCUUCUUUGUGAGAUAACUAAAAUUAGCUUAUAGUAUAGAUACUUAUCAGUUUGAGGAAUGCCUUAAGAAGCAUUCUAUUUUUAUUCCAAAGGGGACCUCAAAAUGAAUGCAUUACUGGGAGCUAGGAAAUGGCUCUGUGGCUAAAGUAUUUGCUGUGCAAGUUUGAGUGUGAGUUUCAUUCUCUAGAAUCCACAUAAAAGUGGGACACAUUGUUCCUAUGGGAAAAUGAGAGCCAGAGACAAGCGAAUCCCCAGAAACUCAUGGGCAAUUGUCCUGCUAUACUCUGCUGCAAAGAACAGAGACCUCGUCUCAAGCAAGGUGGAAAGUGACAACUGACACUAGAGACGUCUUCUAAAGUUCACAUGUGCUCUGGCAAGUAUGCACCUGCACUCCUACAAAGGAAUACAUACAUACACAACCACACACACCAUAUAUUCACACACACCAUGCAUACAUACACAUCCUAUAUUCAUGUAUCAAAUUGCCUUCCUGAAGGCAAUGACAAACAUUUUUCUUUUUCUGAAUUUCUUGAUGCCUCAUGCAAUUAUAAAAGAUGAGUAUAGGAACACCAACCUUAUUUUUUUCAAGCUAGAGAUAACUAAAUAUGAAGACGUUCCCCGGAGAUCUGAUUCAAGAUGGGGCAGGCUGCCAGCACCCGAAGGACCACGGAGCAGCUCCAAGGAGCCUGAAAAACCCACAGGGGCUCCAAGGGGAGACCAGUGGCAGAGGAGGAGGAGUCUGCAGAACCCACAGUAUCUCUGGAACAACUAAAAAAAAAAAAAAAAAGAGAGAGAGAGAGAGAGAUCUUAUGGGAAGAUACUUUUUAACAAUGGUCUCAAGAAAUUGGAAGGAACAAUGGUGGAUCAGCUGUGCACAUGGAGAAUGGCGAAUCUAGCGACAGGCACAGGAGCUCUGCUAGCAGCAAAGAACAUGUAUGCUGUUGCUGAAUGGGGCCAGUCCUCAGCCUGCUGAAACGUUCCGGCCAGUGGUCCAUCCUGCAACAGGGAGCCAGCACCGCUGGAGCAUGCUCCGCUGAUCACCCUGAUUGGUCGAGGAGAGUACAGGCUGUGGUGCUGCCCUUGGGCUACGAGAAUGAUGGUCAUAGAUGGUGAGCCAGUGAAACAGCAGGCGCUGAGGGCAGAGCGGUGUGCAGCAGCAGCCUAGAGCUCUUCCCCGGUCCAAGAUCACCGGGUAAUAACAGAAUGUGUGUCCAGUUGAGUCUCAGGGAUAGUCCAGAAUUUAUGGUGCUUCAGAAACCAGAAACCUCGAACCAGAUCAAUGACUCCUUGGGUAAAUAUUUGCAUGUAAAGCUGUUUGGGAUAUACACUGUGGGAACACUCCAAUGCCACUUCAGUGAAUAAAUGUGUGAUGGAGAGGUGGUCAAGACGGCAGAACAGCUGCAGCACAGUGGUGUGCAACAGCCUGGAGCCCCUGCAGGCUCUGCCCCGGGAGGCCAUGCUGGUAUGUCUGGCCUGUGCUGCCCCCACAAGCCACAGUGAUGCCUGCGGCCCAUGCCGCUGCCGGAGGCCUUGUGUCUAUGUUACCACCAGAGGCCCUGUGGAGGUUAGAGGUCUGUGCUGCUCCCAGAAACCAUGUGUAAGUCCAUGAUCCAUGCUGCCCCUGGCUGUUGUGAGCAGGGAAGCUUCUUUGGCAGUGGUGUUGUUAACUGCGGGCUCAGAGUUGCUGGGAAUGAGAGACAUUGAAGGCUUUUGUGACAACCUCUCCCACCCUCAAAACAUUCUGACAGGAAAACACUGCAAAGAGUCUUUCAUGUGGUGAUGGGGAUGCUGAACUGUAGCUCUUCCUGUAGGUGAGGGCUUCUGUCUGGGGACUGUGGGGAAGGACUCAGUUAUCUUUAAGGGACUGGCUCCUGGGAGUUUGACCACACUCCAAUGAGUUUAUGAACAACAAAAAUUGGACUUGGUGUAUUUUUUUCUUUUUUGAGGACGACUCAAGAGUAGGAGGGUGGACCUGAAAGCAAUCGGAAGUGUUAUCAGGGUGCAUUGUGUGAAAUUUCCAAAUAAUAAAGAUACUAUGUAGGAAAGAAAAAACUAAGUAUGGAGAGAGUGGAUGAACUCAGACUCCUCUCUGUGUGUACACAGGAAUGUGUGCAUGUGCGUGCAUGUGUGUGUGUGUGUGUGUGUGUGUGGUGUAAAAUACCGUUUUUCUUUCUUGCUUUUAAUUAAACUUGUUCUUAGGUUUGAGAAGCAGGCUUGCCUGAGACGGCUAAGAAGAAUUGAAAGAAGGAACUUUUGUCAUUUUUAGGCCAACUUGGCUAAAACCGACAAAUGAGAAACCUUUUUCUUUUUCCCCCCUCCCACCUCCACUCCCAAGCGUUUUACUUCCUCCUUCCACUGGGAACUUGGUCGCUGUUCUCUGGAAGGCCACUACCUACAACCUAUAGUGUUUACCUCACGUCUCCAGUAAAAAUUACUCAUUAUCUAGCUCACAUCCCAUUCUGCCACAUCCCAGCGAUGCACACAAAAUUCACCAUUGAUCAAGUUGUGUUUCUUGGUUAUAAAACACAAACGAAUAAGCUAAAACUUGGCUGAAGUAUUUUAAGCAUAAUUUGAAGAAGUAAAUGUCCUCUCUAAUUGGAAAAUAGGUAGGAUUAAAGCCUUAUUAAAAUUACUUGUUUUGUUAAUAUCUUAGUUUUAUUUAUCAGUUUCGUGCAUAUGCGCAAUAUAUCUUGAUCAUACCCUCCUCCAGCUGUCCCCCUCCAACUUCUCCCAGACUCCUUACCACAUUCCCCAUCCCCCACUCAACUUUAUAUCCUUUGUGUAAAGUAACUCACUAAGUCCAGUUAGUUUGCCUGUGUCCACAGGAAUGAUAGCACCAUCUACUACAGCUUGAGUAACCCAGAAGAGGCCACGUCCCUGAGGAAAACUGGCUUUUCUUCCCCCAGCAACUAUACACUGCCAAUAGUUCCCUAGCUAGGAGGGCCCCUCCUGAGCCCCCUAUCCACCCAGGCUGGAGUAUUGAUUGGCUUGAUUUUCUGCAGGUCUUCUGCAGGCAACCACAGCAGUUCUGAGUGCAAGGGCUUUGUCAAGUCUCUGAGUCAUUAUGUUACAGAAGUCUCCCUGCCUUCUGGCUCUUAAAACCUUUCAACUCCUCUUAUAAUGCUUCUCGAGUCUGGUGAAGGAAGGAGUGACGUAGAUGUUCACCACUCUCCAUGGUCACUUGUUCUCGGAACACUGAUUAGUUGUGGGUCUCUAUGCUAACUGCUACCCACCUACUAUAGGAAGCUUCUGAUGGGGAAAAAUGAUUCACUAGUUUAUAGAUAUGGAGACAAAUAUUUAGGAGGGAGUUGGAUGUUGUAGCCAUUAGCAAUAUAGAAUAUGUUCUUGGCCAGGCUUAUGGUACCAGAUAUAAAAAUCUCUCCUUUCAGGUAAAGGUGGUCAGAAAACUGUUGGUUUUCCUCAUAAAGGUCAUGCAGUUAUUGCACCAAUGAGCAUAUCUUUCCAGGCCAGUGGCUACUUUAGCUUAUGGGGAUCAUGUUUAGAUAAGAAUCUUGAAGACUUCUCUCCCGCAAGCAACUUGCAGAGCAUCUUCCAGCACUGUACUAACUAGAAAGACAGAAACUUCUAGGACAGUACCAACUUGAUUUCAUUUUAUGUGACCAAAGUGUGCCGUGUAUAGACUACUCCUAAAGAUCAUAAAACCACAAAUCUAGGACACACACAUGUACACAGACUCAUAUGCACACACACACAUAAACAUGUACACUCAUAUGCAUACCUUCCCUUGCCAUAAAUUACAAGAAAUAAGCUUUGAAGCUGAGUGCAUCCUUUGCUUGCAUCUCCUGUUGCCCAAUCUGAGGUUUCAUAUGUGUCUUUAAUGUGAGAGAUGUAUGCUAUGUGCUGCUAAGUUCCAUUCCACGUUUGCUUUGAAUUCAUGAAGUUUUAUUGGAAGAAAUUCACCCUUAUUUAAAAAAAAAAAACCAGAUUACUCAGGAUGCAUUCCAAUUAUUAAAUAAAAGUGCAAAAGUGUUCUCUCUUUUUCUCUGGAGUUAAGCAUAUCCCAACCACAUCAAAAUACAACUAGUAGAUGUACUUUAGAUUUUUAAACACAAGAAAGUAUAAUGUAAUUAGGCCAAUUCCUGAUGAUAUUAAAGGCUCUUGGUGGUGUUAAAGAUGAUCCCUUUAAUCUGGGAUACAGAAAAAGUGCUGGCUGGCUCCAUUACAGUUGAAAAGUUGAGCAAGGGAGGACAAGACGUUGCUCAACACAUAUGAGCAGAAACGUAAAAAGGAAUCCAAGGCCUGUGAAUCACUGUCUGGUGUUUUCUAGAGGUAGACCGCACUCCGGUGUCUAACUCACAGUCAGAUGCUGCCAAACACUACUAACCACAGGACUGGGAGGGCAUGAGGCCAUUUGAGGAAACAUGUAUAUGAACUGCAUCCUCUUGAGCAAGUGCUAAGCAUGUCCCAGACUCCUGGCGUCAUCUUAACGUUGUUUGCUAUAACAUGUACACACAGAAAGUGGGGACCACAGAAGAUUGCACUGUCAUCGUCUUGGAGUUAAACUAAAAGUGAAGUUUUGAAAUAACUGGCUAUUUCCAAAGAGAGAAGGUGAUAGCUAAAGAAAUGGAAAAUAAAUUAAAAUAAAAUGAGAAAACAUGUCUCUAAAGAUAGAAGAUACUUUUUGAAACAAACAUACCAUUACAGUUUUCACUCUCCCUGAUCAGAGCCUGUCUCAACAACCUGGGUCCCCGUGGCUGAUGAUUACAUGGAUCCAAACAGUAGUAUGAGGAGAUCAACUAGUGAGGAGUAGAAAGCAAUUACUAGUGUGUCCCUCAGAAUUGCAGCCAUGGGUAACUUGGUUUCCAUUCCCUUGGGAUUUCUAAGGAUCACACAAUGCCUCUUAAAAGUGUGUAGGAUCUGGAGUAUGUGACCAUAAGUCUCUUUGCCAAAUGUAUGAAGUCCCCAGGGCUGUUAACUUUCAUUCUUUCAUGUACUUCUUUGUUCAGACUAGUCAACUAGACUCUAGUGGCUUGGGGAAGCUCUGACAUGGAGUAUAGAAAGAUUCUUGCAGUUAGGCGCGCAGGUACCUAUGCAACAUGACCCUGAGGGUUGACAGAACUCAUUACAGCUGUGACUGAAAUUAAGGGUAAGCUGGGGUAUCUGAUGGAAAGAGCAGUAAAUGAAUAUCAUAGUCAAGUUCUUAUCUCACUCCCCUUCACUGGGCAUCCAAUCUUUCGUUUGACCGCUGCAUCUAGUGAAACAAGCUAUUCCUACUAAUGAUGCUACUGGCCCAUAGACCUCUGUCAAUACUAUGUACCUCUCUGUCCUUCAUAUCUAGGCUAUAAUUUCAUAAUAUUAGGUUAGCAGCUGAUUUAAUUUUCUUAGCUAAUAGAACAGCAUAGACUUUCAGCUUUUCAGGAUUUGGGCACUUAGCUCUUGUCUGGAUAAAUUUGCUGAAACUAUUCUCUACUCUUUCUAAAAAAUGACACAGAGACAUCACAAGUCCCCAUGAGUGCCAUGGUCCCUAUUUCCCAAGACAGGUGUAAGAUAUUAGCCAGUAGAGCAACUUCUUUAUUUGCCUGCUGACCCCCAAGAAUGAGCCAUCAAGGUCACCAGCAGUUGCUGUUUCAUGGCAGUAGAAUCCUUGCUCUGUACCCUAGUGCUGAUUCUGAUGCUUU